CUGACCCAGCGACGCCGCGUGUGGGAGGAAGCCCUUCGGGGUGUAAACCACUGUCAGAGGGGACGAAAGAAUCGCGGGUAAACAAUCCGCGGAAGUGACGGUACCCUCAAAGGAAGCACCGGCUAACUCUGUGCCAGCAGCCGCGGUAAUACAGAGGGUGCAAGCGUUGUUCGGAAUUACUGGGCGUAAAGCGCGCGCAGGCGGAUCCUGCAAGUCCGAAGUGAAAUCUCCUUGCUCAACGAGGGGGCUGCCUUGGAUACUGCGGAUCUGGAGACCGGUAGAGGCUGGUAGAAUUGCAGGUGUAGCGGUGGAAUGCGUAGAGAUCUGCAAGAAUACCCGUGGCGAAGGCGGCCAGCUGGGCCGGUUCUGACGCUGAGGCGCGAAAGCGUGGGGAGCAAACAGGAUUAGAUACCCUGGUAGUCCACGCCGUAAACGAU
This 437-nucleotide ribosomal RNA is filed under the name uncultured Gemmatimonadota bacterium. Its description in RNAcentral is "bacterial SSU rRNA". It matches the Rfam family "Bacterial small subunit ribosomal RNA", at positions 383 to 810 of the family's 1533-position model. Lineage: Bacteria; Pseudomonadati; Gemmatimonadota. The record is from RNAcentral.